AUAACGUUCGGGAAACCGGAGCUAAUACCGGAUAAUAUUUCGAACCGCAUGGUUCGAUAGUGAAAGGUGGUUUUGCUAUCACUUAUAGAUGGACCCGCGCCGUAUUAGCUAGUUGGUAAGGUAACGGCUUACCAAGGCGACGAUACGUAGCCGACCUGAGAGGGUGAUCGGCCACACUGGAACUGAGACACGGUUCAGACUCCUACGGGAGGCAGCAGUG
Molecule: ribosomal RNA, 220 nt
Filed under: uncultured Staphylococcus sp.
Lineage: Bacteria; Bacillati; Bacillota; Bacilli; Caryophanales; Staphylococcaceae
Description: partial 16S ribosomal RNA
Rfam family: Bacterial small subunit ribosomal RNA
Source: RNAcentral